UACGAAGGGGGCUAGCGUUGCUCGGAAUCACUGGGCGUAAAGGGCGCGUAGGCGGCGUGACAAGUCACUUGUGAAAUCUCCGGGCUUAACCCGGAGCGGCCAAGUGAUACUGUCGUGCUAGAGUGCGGAAGGGGCUACUGGAAUUCUCGGUGUAGCGGUGAAAUGCGUAGAUAUCAGGAGGAACACCAAUGGCGAAGGCAGAUCUCUGGGCCGUAACUGACGCUGAGGAGCGAAAGCAUGGGGAGCGAACAGG
Molecule: ribosomal RNA, 253 nt
Filed under: uncultured bacterium
Lineage: Bacteria
Description: partial 16S ribosomal RNA
Rfam family: Bacterial small subunit ribosomal RNA
Source: RNAcentral